AUUGAACGCUGGCGGCAGGCCUAACACAUGCAAGUCGAACGAGCGGCGGACGGGUGAGUAAUGUCUGGGAAACUGCCUGAUGGAGGGGGAUAACUACGGGAAACGGUAGCUAAUACCGCAUACCAUCAGAUGUGCCCAGAUGGGAUUAGCUAGUAGGGGGGGUAAAGGCUCACCUAGGCGACGAUCCCCAGCUGGUCUGAGAGGAUGACCAGCCACACUGGAAAUGAGCCACGGUCCAGACUCCUACGGGAGGCAGCAGUGGGGAAUAUUGCACAAUGGGCGCAAGCCUGAUGCAGCCAUGCCGCGUGGAUGAAGAAGGCCUUCGGGUUGUAAAGCACUUUCAGCGAGGAGGCGUUACUCGCAGAAGAAGCACCGGCUAACUCCGUGCCAGCAGCCGCGGUAAUUC
This 406-nucleotide ribosomal RNA is filed under the name uncultured bacterium. RNAcentral's name for it is "partial 16S ribosomal RNA". It matches the Rfam family "Bacterial small subunit ribosomal RNA", at positions 30 to 526 of the family's 1533-position model. The record is from RNAcentral.